Molecule: ribosomal RNA, 484 nt
Filed under: uncultured bacterium
Lineage: Bacteria
Description: partial 16S ribosomal RNA
Rfam family: Bacterial small subunit ribosomal RNA
Source: RNAcentral
AUUGAACGCUGGCGGCAGGCCUAACACAUGCAAGUCGAGCGGAUGAAGGGAGCUUGCUCCUGGAUUCAGCGGCGGACGGGUGAGUAAUGCCUAGGAAUCUGCCUGGUAGUGGGGGAUAACGUCCGGAAACGGGCGCUAAUACCGCAUACGUCCUGAGGGAGAAAGUGGGGGAUCUUCGGACCUCACGCUAUCAGAUGAGCCUAGGUCGGAUUAGCUAGUUGGUGGGGUAAAGGCCUACCAAGGCGACGAUCCGUAACUGGUCUGAGAGGAUGAUCAGUCACACUGGAACUGAGACACGGUCCAGACUCCUACGGGAGGCAGCAGUGGGGAAUAUUGGACAAUGGGCGAAAGCCUGAUCCAGCCAUGCCGCGUGUGUGAAGAAGGUCUUCGGAUUGUAAAGCACUUUAAGUUGGGAGGAAGGGCAGUAAGCUAAUACCUUGCUGUUUUGACGUUACAAACAGAAUAAGCACCGGCUAACUUCGUG